UCGAGCGGUAAGGCCUUUCGGGGUACACGAGCGGCGAACGGGUGAGUAACACGUGGGUGAUCUGCCCUGCACUCUGGGAUAAGCUUGGGAAACUGGGUCUAAUACCGGAUAUGACCGCAUGCCGCAUGGUGUGUGGUGGAAAGAUUUAUCGGUGCAGGAUGGGCCCGCGGCCUAUCAGCUUGUUGGUGGGGUAAUGGCCUACCAAGGCGACGACGGGUAGCCGACCUGAGAGGGUGACCGGCCACACUGGGACUGAGACACGGCCCAGACUCCUACGGGAGGCAGCAGUGGGGAAUAUUGCACAAUGGGCGGAAGCCUGAUGCAGCGACGCCGCGUGAGGGAUGAAGGCCUUCGGGUUGUAAACCUCUUUCAGCAGGGACGAAGCGUGAGUGACGGUACCUGCAGAAGAAGCACCGGCUAACUACGUGCCAGCAGCCGCGGUAAUACGUAGGGUGCGAGCGUUGUCCGGAAUUACUGGGCGUAAAGAGUUCGUAGGCGGUUUGUCGCGUCGUUUGUGAAAACCCGGGGCUCAACUUCGGGCUUGCAGGCGAUACGGGCAGACUUGAGUGUUUCAGGGGAGACUGGAAUUCCUGGUGUAGCGGUGAAAUGCGCAGAUAUCAGGAGGAACACCGGUGGCGAAGGCGGGUCUCUGGGAAACAACUGACGCUGAGGAACGAAAGCCUGGGUAGCAAACAGGAUUAGAUACCCUGGUAGUCCACGCCGUAAACGGUGGGCGCUAGGUGUGGGUUCCUUCCACGGGAUCUGUGCCGUAGCUAACGCAUUAAGCGCCCCGCCUGGGGAGUACGGCCGCAAGGCUAAAACUCCAAGGAAUUGACGGGGGCCCGCACAAGCGGCGGACCUGUGGAUUUAUUCGAUGCACCGCGAAGACCCUUACCUGGGUUUGACAU
Molecule: ribosomal RNA, 908 nt
Filed under: bacterium KR 1979/121_47f
Lineage: Bacteria
Description: bacterial SSU rRNA
Rfam family: Bacterial small subunit ribosomal RNA
Source: RNAcentral